GUGCAAAGGUAAUUGUGAUUUCUGCUUUUAAAGGUAAUGGCAAAUAUUACAUUUACUUUUGCACCA
Molecule: microRNA precursor, 66 nt
Organism: Gorilla gorilla gorilla (western lowland gorilla)
Lineage: Eukaryota; Metazoa; Chordata; Mammalia; Primates; Hominidae
Source: Ensembl